Molecule: RNase P RNA, 378 nt
Filed under: Sphingomonas montanisoli
Lineage: Bacteria; Pseudomonadati; Pseudomonadota; Alphaproteobacteria; Sphingomonadales; Sphingomonadaceae
Description: Bacterial RNase P class A
Rfam family: Bacterial RNase P class A
About the family: Ribonuclease P (RNase P) is a ubiquitous endoribonuclease, found in archaea, bacteria and eukarya as well as chloroplasts and mitochondria. Its best characterised activity is the generation of mature 5'-ends of tRNAs by cleaving the 5'-leader elements of precursor-tRNAs.
Source: Rfam by way of RNAcentral
CCAGAGGAUCGGGCGAUCGCCGCGGCGGCUUUAUGGCUUCCGGGGAGGAAAGUCCGGGCUCCAAGGAGUGACGGUGCCGGGUAACGCCCGGCGGGGGCGACCCCAGGGACAGUGCCACAGAAAGCAGACCGCCCGGCGGCCCUCACGGGUCCGGGUAAGGUCGAAAGGGUGCGGCAAGAGCGCACCGCGGGCCCGGUAACGGGAACGGCAUGGUAAACCCCACCGGGAGCAAGAUCGAAUAGGGACGGCAUAUGGGCUACUCCGCCCGGUCGUCCGGGUUGAUUGCUGGAGGCCGUGUGCGAGCGCGGUCCUAGAGGAAUGAUCGCCCAUCCGCCCUCGGGCGGUGGACAAAACCCGGCUUACAGAUCCUCUGGCGCU